This 831-nucleotide long non-coding RNA is filed under the name Oryctolagus cuniculus (rabbit). Its description in RNAcentral is "lncRNA (ENSOCUG00000031194.1)". The record is from RNAcentral. Lineage: Eukaryota; Metazoa; Chordata; Mammalia; Lagomorpha; Leporidae.
AAGAUUUUAUGUUAAAAUGUUGAGGGGGGAUCAUAAAAAUAUAUUAACACAAGGAAGACUCUGAUCCUUAUAGAAAGUAUAAACCUGUAAGAAAAUCAAUGGAGAAGGAUAUUGUGAGAAAUAUAAAACUAAAAUUCAGAUUGUAAUGAAAUAUGGCAGACAUAAGAAAAGCACUUAUUUUAACUUUCUUCCCACACACUGGUAAAAUGGGAGAAAACAGACCUGUAAAAAGAAUACAAACAUUCAUAGAGACAAAGAGAAAGGGGUAAGAGAGAUCAUCUAAUGAGCAAUAUCAACUGAAUUUUGCAGGUUCAAAAUCAAAGAUUACAGAAGAGCAACAGGAAAAUCAACUGCUGUGAAUAAGGAGCCUUAGGGAAGAAGAGGAAAGCCAAGAAGCAAGCUCAUUUGUAAAACAGAAACAUAAGAAACUUGGUCAUGGAAGACGCUGGGUGCCUCGGAAGAACUGGGAGUGAAGUAUUGCCAGUCCACAACUACGGAGAUCAUCUUGAAAGUUGCCUCAGAGGGUCAUGGAGUCGUGAGAGACAUGAGAGGAAGCUGGAGCAAAGCCAGGUCCUGUAAUCCUGAAGCUGGAAGCCAGCUGCUGGGUAGUAAGUGUCCCUUCAUUCACUGAAUCAGUCCACAGCAAGAGCAGUGGGAGAAGGUAAUAUUCAUGGAAAACCUACAAAGUGACAGACAUAAUGUUGGGAACUUUACAUAUGUUUUGGCCAUUUAAUACUCACAAGAGCUAGGGCCAAGAACCAAAGGUCUCUGAGGCCCUCCCUCAGUAGGCUCCCUACAAAGUGAAGGCAAUUCAAAGAACAUGCUUAAAAC